UUUCCGUAGGUGAACCUGCGGAAGGAUCAUUCAUAAUAAGUGUUUUAUGGCACUUUUUUAAAUCCAUAUCCACCUUGUGUGCAAUGUCAGGGUUGAUUUUUCUCUCGAGAGGAUCAACCCCAAACAUCAACUAUAUCUCAACUCUUUGUCUGAAAAAUAUUAUGAUAAAACAAUUCAAAAUACAACUUUCAACAACGGAUCUCUUGGCUCUC
RNAcentral lists this unclassified non-coding RNA (212 nucleotides) under plant metagenome. RNAcentral's name for it is "partial contains small subunit ribosomal RNA, internal transcribed spacer 1, and 5.8S ribosomal RNA". The record is from RNAcentral.